GUCUUUACAUAGUCAAAUAGAAAAAAGACGUCAAUAAUGCUUUCUAGAAUCAAUACUUUUCUUUACAUUGCUAUUGUGGACAAUUAUUUGAAUGGAUAUUUGGAUUUUAUAGGCUAAAUCCAAAAUAUUAUUGUACAGUAAAAUUGGAUAACUAACAACCGAAAGUAUGGCUAGAGAAACAAGUUGUUCUUCAGUAUCUUGCACAUAGAUAACGCCAUAAUGACAGCAAUGAGAAAGACAUGAGGAAAAGCAAAAUACUUAAGAAAUACACGAGAUAAAAAAACAUGUUCGAGUGUAUGCCGAGCAAGAUCGGUUGUUGAUAUUAUUACUCCAACAGCAAAAGAACCCAAAAGAACUCAAAUGAACAAACUUCUCCCGUUAAAUUUAUGUCCAAAUGUACAAAAAAUGGUUGGCAGACAAAGCUUGACCAGAAAAUUCGAAACAAUAGCAAAGAACAGCUCAAAGAUUCAAUGUUAAAUGCGAAUCAAACCACGAACGAGCGCAGAACCCGGAAAAACCUCGAACUCAAACUCGGAUCUCCUAGGUGCAACUCCGUUUCUGUUUUGAUUUUGUGAAGGAGAUGGGGUAACGGUUAUGGGGGCCUGCUUCUUGGUAGUUGUUGCUGGAGCUUCUUCUGUGGAACUCGAAUGAAGGUGAAGAAACAGGGGCCUCUAGGAGAUGAAUGGGAGCGACUCCGUCUCUGUUGCAGAAGACGAACGAAAGGGGAUGUCGUUUCGGAUACUGAACGAUGCUGAUCGUUCUUCAGGGAGAGAUCUUAGGCAUUUUUUGGUCUGUGUCUUGUGCUGAAACACUGAAGAAGAAGAAGAAUAAGAAUAAGAAGAAGAAGAAGAAGAAGAAGAAGAAAAAGAACCAGAGGGGGAGGGGUCUAUCGUUCUGCGCAGCUUUUUCAGCUUUUUCCCCUUGAGCCUUAUCUCUCUUCCCCUCCUUCUUUGGCUGAUAGGCGUUACUCUUAUAGGG
Molecule: long non-coding RNA, 978 nt
Filed under: Nicotiana tabacum (common tobacco)
Lineage: Eukaryota; Viridiplantae; Streptophyta; Magnoliopsida; Solanales; Solanaceae
Description: long non-coding RNA (NTAB_LNC009170)
Source: RNAcentral